AGAAAAAAGGAAAAAAAAAAGCAAGUGGAAGGCAUCGAACACCCGAC
Molecule: small RNA, 47 nt
Filed under: Arabidopsis thaliana (thale cress)
Lineage: Eukaryota; Viridiplantae; Streptophyta; Magnoliopsida; Brassicales; Brassicaceae
Description: ATSL119240
Source: RNAcentral